UCAGAGUGAAAGAUCAAAGCGUUGGCCAUAUCUCAGAACAUAAGUUCACAGUGUUGUAUUGACGGAUUGAAAAGAUGGUUUCCCGAGUAGAAAGGACUAACCUUUUUAUACAUGCAGAUACACAGCCUUGCAGGAUUGAAGCUUGCAUUGAAGAUAGAUCAUGGGUGAUGGAUUAAUGGAGGGUUUUAAGAAGAUGAAUCUGUAACAGGUAUCCUUUCAGAUUGUAAGAAAGAAGAUUAACAAUCGCGUUUGAAAUCCUAGGGUAAGAGACGCACUCUGUUUCUUCGGCCCCCAUCCCACACAAAUUGCUUAACAACUAAAGAGCCCAUCACCUCGUGUAUCCACAACAAAUAAAACCCACAAUACCACCGAAUAAAUGAAACGGUGAGUUUCAAAGUGUCAAACAUACGUGAACCGAAUUUCUGACAUGGAUGAUGACGUGUCUCUCUAAGGAGAGAGCAAACUAUACUUUAUAUAAUUGGAUAGUAUAGAUUCCAAUAGAAGUGUGAAUUAAUUGUCUUGGGCCUGGUUUUCAUAAUUUAUUAAAAGUGGCCGACAAAAGACAAAAACACAAGAAGACAUUCCUAGUUUUAUCGAGAUCAAAUUUGGGGCUCUUUCUCUCAUCAGCGGCCGCCACACAGACAAUCUGAUAAUCUCGAACCCUAAUCUGGUUUCAAGUCUCGAACGAAGCACCAUGUCUGAACCAGUAAAAAGCAUCGGUAAGUCUUGUCCCUCUGUUGUUCUGAGAUUGUUUAUAUAUAUCGUAGGUUUAGAGUUUUUGUUCAACCUCGAAUUUUGUAUCGACCAUUCACAGAUCCAGGUUACACAGGGGUGUUCUGGGACUAUGAUGAUUUACCCAUAGCUGGUAGUUUCAAUCCUUUUGAUGUUCAUCUUAAUAUAAAAGCUUCUCUUGCCAAGAAGAAUCUGUGUGGAUUUUUUGAACUGAGUUUCUACUGUGACAAGGAAUUACCAGUCCCAGAUUACUUGGUGCAAUCUUACCGUAAAGCCAGGCUUUGCUUCGUUCCUGAUGGUAAUAAAUAUUCUCUCCUUUUUUUUUUUUUUUUUUUUUUUUUUUUUUCUCAAUUCCAGUGAUUUUAUACUUUUUCCUUAUUACAACAGUGAGCAAAUCUUUGAGAGCAAAAAUUAUGAUAAGAGACAUUCUUCUUUACGCAUGGGACAACAAUCCUUGUUUUAAUGAUGGUCAACCAGCUAACUUGGUGAUCGUCUCCAACACCAUCUCACAAGAUCCCGACAUGAUCAGCGUUCUUCAAGCUUUGAACCAGAGAAACUUCUCCGUUCUCUUAGUACGCUCGGACGAGCUCAAGCAUAAGGCCGUUGAUCCAGGAGACAUUGCCACUGAAAAUUUGGACUGGCUUUGGCAAAGCAUCAUGUUUGGUGAUAAACCUUUCAUCGACCCAAGCGAAACCCGUGCUGGUUCUCUCCUUUGCAGCGGAUGCCAUGAAGAAGUUUCAAUCACUGAAGAUGAAGAUGGAGAUGGAGAUGGAGAUGGAGAACAGACAGAAGAUGCUGUCGUUAAGUUGUAAGCUCAGAGACAGAAGAUGAAGCUGUUGGGCAACAAUUUUUUUGAAGAAGUGUUGUACAACGUUUAAAAUUUUUAAAAUUCAUUAUUCUUAUUGGUUUUAUUAUAUUAUUUGAUGUAUAUAAAAUAUGUUUAUAGAAUUUAAAUGUGGUUUUAGAUAUAAUUUUACUAAAUUUUAUCAAAAUAUAUUAACUGUUAAGAAGAUAUAAAAAUAAUUCCAUUAUGAAUAUAAAAAAUAAUAUAAUGUUUAUUUUUAGUAUAUAAAAUUUAUAUAUAUAUGUAUAAUAUUAAUUUAUAAUUUUAAUGAGACUAUAUGCUUACAUAGAAUUUUCUUAAAAAUAAUUAUCUUAUUAUCUUAUCGAUUUGUGUCAUAUUUGAACUAGCCUAACUUUGAACCGAAGAAAUUUAUUAAUUUAUGAUGUUUAUUAAUUUAUCGAGUUUCUACAGAUUUUUUUUUAUAAAAAACAUAUAUGGUCACAAAUUAAUUUGAUUAUUAACAUAAUUCACACACACACACAUAUAUAUAUAUAUAUUUGAACCCUAAGAAUAUAACAAUUAAUAUUUUACUUGAAGUGCAAUUUAUUUGGUAUAAAAACUCAAGACAUAUUUAUCUAUCUUAUUAAAACAGAAGUACACUUUAUUUGACAUAAAUCAUUUUUUUUGGAAAGAUAAAUUUAUUAAUAUACAUAAACCUAUUAUUUGGUGUUUUAAUUUAUAAAUGGAUACAUCAAAAAUAAUUAAUGUAGUUAAAAUUAUUAAUUGAUGAAUAUGUUAUAUAUCAUAUCAUAUUGAUUGGUUUGAUAUGAAACCAUAAUAUGAGCAACUAAUAAAUUAUAGAUAAUUAAAAACCAUCAAAUAACUCUUCUUACAUAUUAAUAAAUAUUAAUUAAUUAACCAUAGAUCAUUUAUUUUGUUAGAUUAUUCUCUAACCAAAAUUACUAUUAUAUUCUAACCCAAUUAUUCUUUAACAAAUUUUUGUAAUAAAUGUUACAUAUUAUAAAUUGAAUAAAUAUUUAAACGGAUGUAUGUUUCUAAAACCAUUACAUUUUUGUGUUGUGAAAAUUUAAAUAUGCAAAUACUAUUAAAUUUUUUAAAACUUAAUCUAUAGUGUAAUGUUAAUAUUUUUUAUUGCUUGGUUUUCAUAUUCGAUUGAAAUCUGCGCUUAACCCAGGUGUAGCCUUACGAAAACUGAAAAAAAAGAAAAAAAAAUAAAACAGUGUCUUUCAUGCAUGCAUGCAGGAAUCCGGACAUGGAGUUUUCCGUGAACAAAUUUUUUUUUCUUUAAAUGGAAAUAGGAAUAAAUGUUUAAAAAGGCAAUUUGUCUGAUCUUUUUACGUAAAAAAGUAAAAUUCUGCAGUGAGAGAAAACGUCCUUCUUCUUUUUAAGACAGAAAGCGUCCUUAUCUAUUCAUGAUGCCACAAUUUGAUCGAUCCGUACUUUUUUGAUUUCAGUACGAGUCAGUUGAUUGGUCAUUUGGUCUAGUGUCAUUUUCAUGUCCCCAAAUCUCUUAGUAUAAAUAUUAAGUUCCAUGAAAAUCAGUGGUAAAAUAGAGAAAAUUUGGAUAAAUACACUGAAAUAAGAUUUAAUUUGAAGACUACAAUAUUAUUUAAGUUUUUAGAAAAAUACACUUUGAUAUAUAUAAAUUUACAAAAUUGUCCAAUCUCAAUAUUCUUAAUUAUUUAUCAUAAUUUAUUUUAUACUAGUAACGAUUUUAACAAAAUAAGUUUUUUUUUUUAAAAAAAAAAUCUUUAAAGUAUCUACACCAGUUUUUUUAAUAUUAAACUUUUUAUGUUUUUGAAACAAAAAAAAAAGAAAAUAAAACCAUCGAGACGACGUCUCAUUUUCUCCUUCUCCGAUUCUUUAUUUCAGAAAAACUUUUUUUCUUUCUAGUUUCACAUUAUUAUUUUCCAUUUUCUUGGUAACUGUUUUAGUUUUUAUUUUGCAAUAAAGUUGAUUACUUGUGAAUGGGAAUCAAUUGGUCUCUGUUNNNNNNNNNNNNNNNNNNNNNNNNNNNNNNNNNNNNNNNNNNNNNNNNNNNNNNNNNNNNNNNNNNNNNNNNNNNNNNNNNNNNNNNNNNNNNNNNNNNNUGUUGCUUAUUUUGUUAUAGGUUACUUUUCAAUAGGUCUGUUGUUGGACUAUGCAAGUAUAAUAUAUAUAUGUUUUAGUUUCAUUUUUGUAUGAAAUUAUGGUUUAUUUUAGUAUUUUGUAAAAAUGUCACAGUUAAUUAAAUAGAUUAACCCUACAUUUUGUGUUCACAAUACUUAUCUUACCCUUAAAACCACUUUGAUGUAAUUUUUAAAAAAGUUUAAUUCAUUGUCAAUUAUGUGACAUUAAUUUCACUAUUUUUAUAACAACUUUCACUAUUUAUUUUAUCAUUGUUUCUGUAAUUUAUAUACAAUAGAAAUUUAUUUUGAUAUAUACCUUUUGUAAAACCUAAUAUCAAUUGUUACUACUUAAAAAUAUAGGUAUUUAUUUGAAUAUUGUAUAUGCUAUUAUAUUUGGACACCAAACAAAACCAUGUUAUCUAAAUAACUAAUUAUAAUUUUUAAUAUAAGAUUUAUAGAUUAAUUUUCGGUAUAAGAAUUUACAUUGACUUUAUUUUAUAAGUUAUUUCUUAUUAUCAUAGUAACAAUUUUACUAUAUUUUGUUAUUGAAUUUAAUAAGUUAUAUUUAAAUUUGUUACAAUUUAUUAUUUGCAUGCAUAUUAAACUUAUUUGCUCUUUGUACGCAUGCAAGAUGACCUAUCAAAGAAGGAUGUCCACAUGUAUGUCCGUCAAAAAUGUACUAUUUUAUUAAUUUAAGUUGUGGGUUUUGAUCAAAAAAAAAAUUGUGGGUUAAUUUGUCUGUAAGUUUCUUUUUUUUUUGGAGAGAUUUUUUCUUAGAGAAAAAUUCAUAAAAUACCCAACUAAAUUAUAUUAAUCUUUUUAAUAUCCAAACUUUUAUUUACCUAAUUUAAUACACUAACUAAUUAUUUUUCUCGUUUUAAUUCAUAAAUUUUUAAUUUUGUGAAAAUUCUAAUACCCAAAGGUGUAUUUAUAUUAAUCAAAAUAUUUAAUAAAUGACAAAUGAAUUUAGAAAAAUCUAAAAAACACAAUUUUUUAUUAUUAUUUUAUUUUAAGGUUUCGAAAGAAAAGUAACUUAACUAUGGAUAAGCUGAAAUUGUGAUAAAGUUCUAAAUUUUAAAUAACAAAUGAAGUUUUUUUUUUGGAAAUAUAAAAAAAAAUUAUUUAUUUUCUUUCAAUAUUAAGUUUUUAUAAAUUUAUAAGUUUUUAUAACACACCAUUUUACCUUUUUGAAGUUUAGCAUACUUCUUAUUCAUUAAAUAUUUCAAUGACAUGUUUGACAUGAGCACCAAGAGGACCUUUUCCUAUGCUGUUGAUAAACUGAAACCGCUCGGUGUCAUGGAGAAGUUGACAGAAGGAGGCGCCUGUUAGAUAGACCAACUCCGACCACCACCACCGCCAAGGCGCUAAGUAAAGUUCUCUCCCCUCCGCCUCCAAGUGAUUCCUCCCGCCGCCAUUAGUGGCUGAAGCUUUGGCUAUGGAUAUUUUCCUUAUAUCUUCAACAGUGGCGUAGCCCUUACGCGUAUUAUUCAUCAUCCCUCUGAUAUGCUUCCUCUUCAAUAAGAAGACGACCCAGAGAAAACAGAGGCGGUUCUACUUUUAGACGGUGGAAGUAAUACAAUAAACUUAAGUGAGAGGAUGAUGUUCAUGGCCUCCCAGAACCGGAGCAACUGCACUUGAACGGUGGAGGAGGAGCGUCCGGUCUGUAAUUCAGAGUGAAAGAUCAAAGCGUUGGCCAUAUCUCAGAACAUAAGUUCACAGUGUUGUAUUGACGGAUUGAAAAUAUGGUUUCCCGAGUAGAAAGGACUAACCUUUUUAUACAUGCAGCUACACAGCCUUGCAGGAUUGAAGCUUGCAUUUAAGACAGAUCAUGGGUGAUGGAUUAAUGGAGGGUUUUCAGAAGAUGAAUAUGUAACAGGUAUCCUUUCAGAUUGUAAGAAAGAAGAUGAACAAUCGCGUUUGAAAUCCUAGGGUAAGAGACGCACUCUGUUUCUUCGGCCCCCAUCCCACACAAAUUGCUUAA
RNAcentral lists this long non-coding RNA (5626 nucleotides) under Brassica napus (rape). RNAcentral's name for it is "long non-coding RNA (BNAP_LNC000537)". The record is from RNAcentral. Lineage: Eukaryota; Viridiplantae; Streptophyta; Magnoliopsida; Brassicales; Brassicaceae.